CAAUAGCGUAUAUUAAGUUGCUGCAGUUAAAAAGCUCGUAGUUGGAUUUCGGGUGGGAAUGGCCGGUCCGCCGUUUCGGUGUGCACUUGCUACGCCCACCUUGCUGCCGGGGACGUGCUCUUGAGUUCACGCUCGGGACACGGAGUCGGCGAGGUUACUUUGAGUAAAUUAGAGUGUUCAAAGCAGGCCUACGCUCUGAAUACAUUAGCAUGGAAUAACACGAUAGGACUCUGGCCUAUCUUGUUGGUCUGUAGGACCGGAGUAAUGAUUAAGAGGGACAGUCGGGGGCAUUCGUAUUUCAUUGUCAGAGGUGAAAUUCUUGGAUUUAUGAAAGACGAACUACUGCGAAAGCAUUUGCCAAGGAUGUUUUCAUUAA
RNAcentral lists this ribosomal RNA (376 nucleotides) under uncultured eukaryote. Its description in RNAcentral is "partial 18S ribosomal RNA". It matches the Rfam family "Eukaryotic small subunit ribosomal RNA", at positions 592 to 976 of the family's 1831-position model. The record is from RNAcentral.